GAUGAACGCUGGCGGCGUGCCUAAUACAUGCAAGUCGAGCGAACAGACGAGGAGCUUGCUCCUCUGACGUUAGCGGCGGACGGGUGAGUAACACGUGGAUAACCUACCUAUAAGACUGGGAUAACUUCGGGAAACCGGAGCUAAUACCGGAUAAUAUAUUGAACCGCAUGGUUCAAUAGUGAAAGACGGUUUUGCUGUCACUUAUAGAUGGAUCCGCGCCGCAUUAGCUAGUUGGUAAGGUAACGGCUUACCAAGGCAACGAUGCGUAGCCGACCUGAGAGGAUGAUCAGCCACACUGGAACUGAGACACGGUCCAGACUCCUACGGGAGGCAGCAGUGGGGAAUCUUCCGCAAUGGGCGAAAGCCUGACGGAGCAACGCCGCGUGAGUGAUGAAGGUCUUCGGAUCGUAAAACUCUGUUAUUAGGGAAGAACAAAUGUGUAAGUAACUAUGCACGUCUUGACGGUACCUAAACAGAAAGCCACGGCUAACUACGUG
RNAcentral lists this ribosomal RNA (497 nucleotides) under uncultured bacterium. Its description in RNAcentral is "partial 16S ribosomal RNA". It matches the Rfam family "Bacterial small subunit ribosomal RNA", at positions 28 to 507 of the family's 1533-position model. The record is from RNAcentral.